Molecule: ribosomal RNA, 460 nt
Filed under: uncultured bacterium
Lineage: Bacteria
Description: partial 16S ribosomal RNA
Rfam family: Bacterial small subunit ribosomal RNA
Source: RNAcentral
CCUACGGGAGGCAGCAGUGAGGAAUAUUGGUCAAUGGGCGUGAGCCUGAACCAGCCAAGUCGCGUGAGGGAUGACGGUUCUAUGGAUCGUAAACCUCUUUUGUAAGGGAAUAAAGGGUGGGACGUGUCCUGUUUUGUAUGUACCUUAUGAAUAAGCAUCGGCUAACUCCGUGCCAGCAGCCGCGGUAAUACGGAGGAUGCGAGCGUUAUCCGGAUUUAUUGGGUUUAAAGGGUGCGUAGGCGGCCUUUUAAGUCAGCGGUGAAAGUCUGUGGCUCAACCAUAUACGUGCCGUUGAAACUGGGAGGCUUGAGUAUGUUAGAGGCAGGCGGAAUGCGUGGUGUAGCGGUGAAAUGCUUAGAUAGCACGCAGAACCCCGAUUGCGAAGGCAGCAUGCCAAGCCAUGACUGACGCUGAUGCACGAAAGUGUGGGGAUCAAACAGGAUUAGAUACCCCAGUAGUC